GACGAACGCUGGCGGCGUGCUUAACACAUGCAAGUCGAACGGAAAGGCCCUGCUUUUGUGGGGUGCUCGAGUGGCGAACGGGUGAGUAACACGUGCGUAACCUGCCCUUGAUUUUGGGAUAACUUGAGGAAACUGGGGCUAAUACCGGCUAGGUGCUCCUGCUGCAUGGUGUGGGUUGGAUAGUUUCGGCGGUUGGGGACGGACUCGCGGUUUAUCAGCUUGUUGGGGGGGUAGUGGCUUACCAAGGCUUUGACGGGUAGCAGGACUGAGAGGGGGACCGGCCACAUGGGGACUGAGAUACGGCCGGGACUCGUACGGGAGGUAGCAGUGUGGAGUAUAGCACAAUGGGCGGAAGCCUGAUGCAGCAUCGCCGCGUGCGGGAUGACGGCCUUCGGGUUGUGAACCGCUUUCGCCUGUAACGAAGCGUGAGUGACGGUAAUGGGUAAAGAAGCACCGGCUAACUACGUG
This 468-nucleotide ribosomal RNA is filed under the name uncultured bacterium. Its description in RNAcentral is "partial 16S ribosomal RNA". It matches the Rfam family "Bacterial small subunit ribosomal RNA", at positions 28 to 507 of the family's 1533-position model. The record is from RNAcentral.